RNAcentral lists this long non-coding RNA (985 nucleotides) under Nicotiana tabacum (common tobacco). RNAcentral's name for it is "long non-coding RNA (NTAB_LNC013138)". The record is from RNAcentral. Lineage: Eukaryota; Viridiplantae; Streptophyta; Magnoliopsida; Solanales; Solanaceae.
GAAUGUAUUCCUCUGUUAUAUGGGCAGGCUCCCAACUUUAACCAACAAAUCACCAUUCUAUUUUUCAGGGGGGGGCUCCUGAUUACUUAAAAUUUGAAUUGUAUUCCCUUAUUCUCCAGGUGGGCUCCUGAUUGCUGAUACUUCCAUUGUAUUCCCUUAUUCUCCAGGUGGGCUCCUGAUUGCUGAUACUUCAACUGUUCUUCUUUGUUCUCCAGGUGGACGCCUGAUUGCUGGGGAUAAUACUACUAGGGAAGUCUCCCUUCUUCCCCUCCUUCAAAUUCAAUUUUUUUUCUUUUUUUUUCCUUUUUUUAACACUGCUGGGGAUAAAAGUGUUAUCUUCUCGGGAUAACGUUGUUGAGGAUAACGCUACUGGGGAAUUUUAUCCCUUCAAGUCGAUGCUUCAUUCUUCUGGAAGCUGCUGGGGAUGAUAAUGGCUUUUUGCUUUUCUGAGCACAAGUGUCAUCCCUUUAUUCUGUCUGCUGGGGAAUACUUCCUCCAUUUAAACUUAUUAUGUUGGGGCAACACUGGUUCAAAUACCACUUCCCUUGAGACUGAUGCUAUCUUUAUUCUUCCUCGAAUGGGUACUUGACUUCCAGAAAAUUUUCCAAAUGAAAGGAAAAUUUUCUGCCCCAGUUUGACAUUCUCCCUUAUGGCAUGCAUUUCUGUCAUCAAUGCCAUUUCCUUUACCUGUUUCAAAUCAAACAAAAUUUGUUAGUUUAAAACGUGGUGGUUGGUUGUGAUACUCCUACUGGGAUGGCUUUUCCUUUUCUCCUUCCUUGCUCUGCGCUCUACAACUUGUUGGGGAUGAUAUUAUUUGCUGGGGAUAAUCCCUUUCUGCUGGGGAUAUCCCUCUUUUUUUGUGGCAUAGCUCGGAAACUGGCAUUUCCCCGACCUUUUAGUCUAGUAUGAAUUUCCCCAAAUCAUGCUCACUGCUCUCCUUGCUUUGUUCAACGGGCCUUGGCCUUGAGGUUUAUAACCUUUGAUU